Long non-coding RNA from Felis catus (domestic cat), 1712 nucleotides. RefSeq lists it as uncharacterized. The record is from RefSeq and is a predicted model, not a curated record. The transcript is spliced from 5 exons. Lineage: Eukaryota; Metazoa; Chordata; Mammalia; Carnivora; Felidae.
UAGGCAAGGCACCCUCAUUGUCCUUGAUGAACAGCUGCUAGAAUGACUUGAUCACAUUAUUACCUUAUUUAAAACUCUAGCUAGGCUUAUAAGCUCCAUUAUAACUGGAGUAUGCAUGCAUUUCCAGGGUUUUCUUUUCUAGAACCUUUCUCUUAUACAAAUUCUGGUUCCAGAAUGACUGAGGAAUUCUCAAACACUAACGUUGCCUAAGUGUGACCUACUGCUUCUGGAUUAUGUCUAUGCCUUUGGUUUCCCAGAUCUAUUGGCAUGGUGAAAUAUACCUAAGCAUUGGGACCAUCUCUUCUGCAAAGCCUUUUCAGCUAUCCCUGAUCUCUAGAAUUGAGGACUCCUUCAAUGCUCUCAAUGCACCCAGACAACUAACUUACUUAAUUGCUCUUAUUGACUAUAUGCUCAUUGUCCUUUACUACAUUAUAACCUCCUUGACAUUAGGGACUAAGUUUGUAUCCCAAGACAAAGCAAUUAGUAGGCAUUAGAGAAAUGUUGGCUGAAAAAAUGAAGGGAACUGCAUCUAUCACCUUUCAGAUGACAAUUCGAUGGUAAUAUCCCUGAAUGGUUUUUACUUUACACAGAAGAACAAUCAAGGUCUUGCCUGCAGACACCGCAGAAACUAUAUGUGCCUCUACAUAAAGCUGAUGCUCAGAAAGGACUGAAAAUAAUUGCUGGACGCAGAGAUACAACUAACAGAGAAAAGUACUUCUUAGUACACACUGGGGGAGAUAAGUGCCUCUUCGUGUGAAGGUAAUACUCUUUGGGGUGUUACAGGAUGAAUAAUAGCCAAAGUCAACACUUUCAAUAGAGAAGAAUGUGCCUUUUAGCAGCGGAAGAAACAAGAUCCUCAUUUGCUGACUAGUGAUAUGCUUAUUGAGAAACUACCAGAACAAGAUGACCAAGAACCUACUGCAAAAAUCUACCAGAUGACAGACAGAAGCUGCCUGAGGUCUUACCGGUUUGCCUGGCUUCAAACUCCAAUUUCCUCCCAUAUGCUAUAGAAGUGACCACAAAAGUACAUAGUAAUAGCCACAUUUUUUAUCUAGGGCCUACCACAUGACAAAUUCUAUUGUAUAUUAUCCCUAAUCCUCACAAAGACACUGUAAAGUUGUUAUUUCUGAUCUUCUGCCUAGUAGUUGAGGAAACUAAUGAUAAAAUGUCUGGAACUCCCAUGUUUAAGUUAAUUGCCUCUAAAUCCCUUCAUUUUACCAAUGUUUGUCUUACUUCAUUCUAAACUCAUUUUACCCUUUUCAGCUUUGCUAUGGUAGUCUGAAAUGAUCCCAGUUCCCCUCUUGUCUAUAUCCAUGGUCCUUUGGAUUGUGGCUUCCCAAUCAAACUAGAGAGUCUUUUUCUCCCUUUUUAUGUCUGGGAUUGGCUAUGUGACUUACUUUGGCCAAUGCGACAUAACCAACAUGAUACAAGCAGAGUCUUGCAAAAUAGUUGAUCUUUGGGAUUUCUCUGCCUAUUGUUGGGAAUCCUGUCAUAAUGAGAAUGAGCCUGUGCUAGACUGCUUGGUGAUGACAGCCAUACGGCCAUCAUCCCAGAUGACAUUAAGGUGACUAUCAAGCAUGUGACUGAGUUCCUUCCCCUAUAAAACCAACCAACUUGCUAGCUCCUAAACAUCUAACUUCAGCCAAGUUAGCACACACACAACUCAAGUAAGUGUGAGAACUGUAAUAAAUGUUUCCUGUUUUAAACUACUA